UCUGGGUAUACACCAUUGCAUCACAAGGGCCACCCAGAAUUGGCUCAACUCCCAUCAAGCCAAGUUUCUGGAGGAGAUCACCCAGCUCAUCAUGGUAGAGCAGUUUUUCAAUGUGCCCCCCAACGAGAAGGCGACGACUCAUUCGUACGUCAAUCUAUAUCAACUUUCGAUGCCAUUGACUGCGCCUACCAUGGUGACCAUGAGUAAUGAGGAAUCAGGGUUCGAUUCCAUACAGGGACCCUGACAAACGACUACCACAUGCAAGGAAGGCAGCAGGUGCGCAAAUGACUCACUCCCGACGCGGGAAGGUAGUGACGA
Molecule: non-coding RNA, 318 nt
Organism: Pelobates cultripes (western spadefoot toad)
Lineage: Eukaryota; Metazoa; Chordata; Amphibia; Anura; Pelobatidae
Source: the annotation of a GenBank genome assembly